CCUGUCUCUUUGCAACUUCCUGAGUGUGGCUGCCAGCUGCCUCCUGCUCCUACUGUCGUGCCUUCUUGGCCAUUAUGAUGGCUAGUUUUUACAUCAAAUUGACACAAGCUGGGAAAGGAGGAAACCUCACCUAAGGACAUGCCUCUGUAUGAUCUGGCAAGCAGAAGCAGAAAAGGGUAACUGAUGUGGCGUCAUGCAACUAUAAUCUCAUACUUGAGGGAUGGAGUCAGAAGAAUUAGGAGUUCAAGGCCAGAUAAGGAUACAGAUCCAUCCAUUUAUAGAUAUGGAUAAAAAGCAGAAACAUUUGAAAUCCAAGAAGUAGAUGGGGUUGAAGAAGGAUUGGAGCUCCAAAAGAUGGUGACAAGUGUCACCUGCCAUCCAAGUACACAAGCCUUACUCUCAGGAUUACAAUUCUGCUUUAUAAAGUCACUGAGGUUUGGGAGGAAGCUUGGCUACUGUAGCAUAAAGUAUUAUCUCAUUAACAGAGGGAAAUAAACUCCAAAAAUCUCUGUCUACU
RNAcentral lists this long non-coding RNA (517 nucleotides) under Mus musculus (house mouse). RNAcentral describes it as "predicted gene, 48321". The record is from RNAcentral. Lineage: Eukaryota; Metazoa; Chordata; Mammalia; Rodentia; Muridae.